UACAGAGACUGCAAGCGUUAUUCGGAUUCACUGGGCGUAAAGGGUGCGCAGGCGGCCGAGUGUGUGAGGCGUGAAAGCUUGGAGCUUAACUCCAAAAUUGCACCUCAAACUACACGGCUAGAGCAUUGGAGAGGGUAGCAGAAUUCAUGGUGUAGCAGUGAAAUGCGUAGAUAUCAUGAGGAAUACCAGAGGCGAAGGCGGCUACCUGGACAAUUGCUGACGCUCAGGCACGAAAGCGUGGGGAG
Molecule: ribosomal RNA, 245 nt
Filed under: uncultured bacterium
Lineage: Bacteria
Description: partial 16S ribosomal RNA
Rfam family: Bacterial small subunit ribosomal RNA
Source: RNAcentral